This 264-nucleotide unclassified non-coding RNA is filed under the name Hevea brasiliensis (rubber tree). Lineage: Eukaryota; Viridiplantae; Streptophyta; Magnoliopsida; Malpighiales; Euphorbiaceae. The record is from RNAcentral.
AUCCAGGCUUGGGACCGGCUAAGUUCAAUCCCUAUGAUGUUUAUUUUCAUGGCUUGAAUCUCAAACUUCCACAAUUUUCUCUUUCAAUUUUGUUAAAUUAGGUAAUAUUUUUCUUGUCAAUUUUGAUAAAUCUUGUUGGGUUAUAGAUUUUGAAGCAAACAAACAUAUGACCGGCUCCUCAAAUAAAUUUUCUACCUAUUUCUCAUGCUCAGAAACAGAAAAAGGCCUUAUAGCGAGUGAUUCCUUUACCACAAUUUCUGGUAC